Molecule: ribosomal RNA, 433 nt
Filed under: uncultured bacterium
Lineage: Bacteria
Description: partial 16S ribosomal RNA
Rfam family: Bacterial small subunit ribosomal RNA
Source: RNAcentral
AACGAACGCUGGCGGCAUGCCUAACACAUGCAAGUCGAACGAUGCUUUCGGGCAUAGUGGCGCACGGGUGCGUAACGCGUGGGAAUCUGCCCUUGGGUUCGGAAUAACAGUGAGAAAUUGCUGCUAAUACCGGAUGAUGUCUUCGGACCAAAGAUUUAUCGCCCAGGGAUGAGCCCGCGUAGGAUUAGCUAGUUGGUGGGGUAAUGGCCUACCAAGGCGACGAUCCUUAGCUGGUCUGAGAGGAUGAUCAGCCACACUGGGACUGAGACACGGCCCAGACUCCUACGGGAGGCAGCAGUGGGGAAUAUUGGACAAUGGGCGCAAGCCUGAUCCAGCAAUGCCGCGUGAGUGAUGAAGGCCUUAGGGUUGUAAAGCUCUUUUACCCGGGAUGAUAAUGACAGUACCGGGAGAAUAAGCUCCGGCUAACUCCGUG